GACGAACGCUGGCGGCGUGCUUAACACAUGCAAGUCGAACGGAAAGGCCCUGCUUUUGUGGGGUGCUCGAGUGGCGAACGGGUGAGUAACACGUGAGUAACCUGCCCUUGACUUUGGGAUAACUUCAGGAAACUGGGGCUAAUACCGGAUAGGAGCUCCUGCUGCAUGGUGGGGGUUGGAAAGUUUCGGCGGUUGGGGAUGGACUCGCGGCUUAUCAGCUUGUUGGUGGGGUAGUGGCUUACCAAGGCUUUGACGGGUAGCCGGCCUGAGAGGGUGACCGGCGACAGUGGGACUGAGAUACGGCACAGACUGCUACGGGAGGCAGCAGGGGGGAAUAUUGCACAAUGGGCGGAAGCCUGAUGCAGCAACGCCGCGUGCGGGAUGACGGCCUUCAGGUUGUAAACCGCUUUCGCCUGUGACGAAGCGUGAGUGACGGUAAUGGGUAAAGAAGCACCGGCUAACUACGUG
This 468-nucleotide ribosomal RNA is filed under the name uncultured bacterium. Its description in RNAcentral is "partial 16S ribosomal RNA". It matches the Rfam family "Bacterial small subunit ribosomal RNA", at positions 28 to 507 of the family's 1533-position model. The record is from RNAcentral.